GGGUGAACCCUCACAGCAAACUCCACCCGAUUUUCAAGCACUAAUUAAUUCAGCGGUGGCGGCCUCAAUGGAAAAGGCCAUAGCGAAACUAUUGGUCCAAACCCCACAGGGGGACCCGGACACCAAAGGCCAGGAGAAGCUUUCAGGGGAUAGUGCUCCCCCUAAGAGACAUUGGAAGGGCAAUGGCCCAGCCCCACGGACGGCAAAGGGCAAAGCCCCACUCAAAAGGAGCCGCCCAUCGGACCGCUUAGAUCCG
Pelobates cultripes (western spadefoot toad) is the source of this 256-nucleotide non-coding RNA. The record is from the annotation of a GenBank genome assembly. NCBI's taxonomy places the organism in Eukaryota, Metazoa, Chordata, Amphibia, Anura, Pelobatidae.